AUUGAACGCUGGCGGCAGGCCUAACACAUGCAAGUCGAACGGUAACAGGAAGCAGCUUGCUGCUUCGCUGACGAGUGGCGGACGGGUGAGUAAUGCCUGGGAAGCUGCCUGAUGGAGGGGGAUAACUACUGGAAACGGUAGCUAAUACCGCAUAAUGUCGCAAGACCAAAGAGGGGGACCUUCGGGCCUCUUGCCAUCGGAUGUGCCCAGAUGGGAUUAGCUUGUUGGUGGGGUAACGGCUCACCAAGGCGACGAUCCCUAGCUGGUCUGAGAGGAUGACCAGCCACACUGGAACUGAGACACGGUCCAGACUCCUACGGGAGGCAGCAGUGGGGAAUAUUGCACAAUGGGCGCAAGCCUGAUGCAGCCAUGCCGCGUGUAUGAAGAAGGCCUUCGGGUUGUAAAGUACUUUCAGCGGGGAGGAAGGGAGUAAAGUUAAUACCUUUGCUCAUUGACGUUACCCGCAGAAGAAGCACCGGCUAACUCCGUG
This 490-nucleotide ribosomal RNA is filed under the name uncultured bacterium. RNAcentral's name for it is "partial 16S ribosomal RNA". It matches the Rfam family "Bacterial small subunit ribosomal RNA", at positions 30 to 507 of the family's 1533-position model. The record is from RNAcentral.